This is a non-coding RNA of Ceratotherium simum simum (southern white rhinoceros), 91 nucleotides long. Lineage: Eukaryota; Metazoa; Chordata; Mammalia; Perissodactyla; Rhinocerotidae. The record is from RefSeq and is a predicted model, not a curated record.
GGGGGUAGGGAGGUAUAUGGGAAAACUCUGUAGCUUCCUCUCAAUUUUGCUGUGAAUCUAAACCUGCUCUAAAAAAUUUAAGUUAAAAUAU